Misgurnus anguillicaudatus (oriental weatherfish) is the source of this 2607-nucleotide non-coding RNA. Lineage: Eukaryota; Metazoa; Chordata; Actinopteri; Cypriniformes; Cobitidae. The record is from RefSeq and is a predicted model, not a curated record.
UUGUGCUAAAUAGUGAUACUAGAAGCUACAUUUAUAAUAUUUACCUCAGGUAAAAAAUACUGCUGGUAACGUUGAAGCACUUGACGGGCUUCGUCAACCGUCAGUUAUAAAAGCUCUGUUAAAUACAUUUUGUUCCGGGUUUUAAUGAAUUACGUUACAGUCCUGCUUUAUUUCUUUGUCAUUUUAAAUUAAAUUGCCAAUCAGAAUAAGACAGCUGUGUUGGAAGGAGACGAAAUUCGAGACAGUCAUUUCAGUGAAGCGCGUGGUCAAAGGAACCGGGUGGAAGACGGUAGAAGGGAAAUUAUAUGUAGUUAAAUGUUUGUCGCAGUUUUACACAUAUUCCGUGAGUAUUUUUCGCUUGUUCACGAGUGUUUUAUCAGGGUUGGAGCUAAACUCGGAAGGAAAGUGGAAACUGCUGGCCAAAGUUGAGAACAUUCCGCCGGUCUGUAUUAUAAAUGCACGAUUGCAGUGCAGCGUUUGUAUCCGCAACAAGUCUAACGUUAGAUAUGCAUGUUUUCUGUGAUGCACACAAAUAAUUAAUGUGAUGGUAGCUGUUAAGACACUUACAUUUAACAUUCAAAUGUUUUAAAAACCAAACGUGUUCAUGUUUUUAUGUGUAUUUGGUUUGUGAAGUGUAAUUUAUGCUUUUUUCCUCUCCCCCACAGAUAACCAUGGUUAAUAAAUGAUCAGACACGUCACUGGCUUUAAAAUAUAAACCCCAUUGAUGCAAAAAGAUGCUGCAUGGAAUGACAAUGAGGUUUGGAACAGACUUGAAGAACAUGGAAACAUCUCUAAAUAAAAUGGCCCCAAACAUCAUCAGGAGUGCAAAAGAAGGAAAAAACAUCUCUACGCCAAUCUCAUUGGAGAGGAAACCACAGAAGGUCUGGUGAGGAAUGCUGCACUUAUGUUAUUGCCAGCAUUAUUUCAAGAAAAUCCCAGCUUCCUUGACUGUGUAAAUAGUGAACCCAAAGGUCCCACACCAACCAUAGUGUUCAAUGGCUCUCCUGAUCUUCUCAAAUCUGAAAGUCGGAGAAGCGGACCGCCCCUGUCGCGGAUCACGCUCCUCCUAGUUCCACCUCGAGGAGGUCCCAAAGCACCCCAAUGACCAGACAAACCAGAGAUAAGUAAAAUAUAAAAAUAGAAACUUUAUUUAAAUUAUUUAAAACUAAAGUGGGGAAUGGGAAUCUAAAAAUCUCGCUUCUCGCCCUCAGGGGGAGUAUUACGGGGCCAGGGACGUUGGAGGGGUUUCCAUGUGACUCCAGCUGGAACACCGCUACAGAGCGUAUCUGGGUGGGUUGGGCACACACCGUCGCGGCGGCCCCUGAUGGCAUCCACAAAGGUCCAAGACCCUCCUAAGCUCCCAGCCGUAGCAGAACUACGUAUUUCAGCACCCGAACGACUAACAACCCAGCCGGCAUCUGCAGCGUAUAUCCAACGCGAUCAAACUUCACUCUGACAAGUAACUUCCUAUACACAACCACGCCGUCCUUUCGCCCGGACCAGCCCCGCACUCUUUCCGCCCGCUACCUAGCGGUCGCCGGAUCAGCAGAGCCUGCGGACUCUUCGGACUCUGUGACCCUUACAGUAACUUCUACCUUCUCUCUUUAUAUCCUCCUCCCAGGCGUGGCUCGCCCAACCAUCGCUCGCCAUGUCACUCACACAGCUGUGCCUUGUUUCAGUGAGUGCGGGGAUUCCCGGGGAACCCGGAAGUGCCGGUGUCUGUACAAACCGGUCCGGGCGGAACCUCUUCACUCUCCUUUUGGUUCCGCCCCGCAUAGUCACUCCGUGACAACUGUUUGCGUUUUAUUUUCUCCUCAAUGUUCAAUACCCUUUUGCCAUUAAGCACACAGUGACAUUAAUUUAUAAAAUAUAUGCUUAAGUUUUAAUACCUGUACAAAACAAAUGUAAAAUCAACUUGUGUAAAUUGUCAUUUUAUUUAAUAGAUUGUUCAUGAAUUGUCUUUAAAUGCAUUGUGAUUUCGGUAACACUUUACAAUAAGGUUCAUUAGUUAACAUUAGUUAAUGUAUUAACUAACUUGAACAAACCAUGAGCAAUACAUUUGUUACAGUAUUUAUUCAUCUUUGUUAAUGUUAGUUAAUAAAAAUUUAAGCUUUAAUUGCUUGUUCAUGUUAGUUCAGAGUGCAUUAACUAAUGUUAACAAGAUUUUAAUAAAGUAUAAGUAAUUGUUGAAAUUAACAUCAACAAAGAUUAAUAAAGGCUGUAUAAGUGCAGUUCAUUAUUAGUUCAUGUUAACUAAUGUAGCUAACUAAUGUUAACUAAUGAACCUUAUUGUAAAGUGUAACCGUGAUUUCUUUUCAUCAUUUCAGACACAUGUAAAAGUUACUAAAACUUAGUACUGCCUAUACUGUACAGUAUCUAUGCGUAAGGGAAAUAACUUGAACAAAAUUUUUUAUGUAUAGUGUAAUUAAUAGUUUAGCUGUUUAAUACAGAGAUGCAAUAUAUAUAUGUAUAUGUAUGUUUAUUAAAAAGUGAAAAUGCUUAAUGGAAAUAAUUAAAUAACUAAAUGGUUUAAUGUAAUGAGACAUUUUAAAUGUAAACCAAAGUUUUGCUGUCUAAUACAGAAUAAAGAGAUGUGAUUUUAAGUAA